UUUCCGGUUGAUCCCGCCGCCGGCCACCGCUAUCAAGUUCCGACUAAGCCAUGCGAGUCAAGGUAUCGUAAGAUGCCGGCAAACUGCUCAGUAACACGUGGAUAAUCUAACCUUGAGUAAGGGAUAACCUCGGGAAACUGAGGAUAAUACCUUAUAAUUGCUUAAAACUGGAAUGUUUAAGCAAUAAAAGUUCCGACGCUCAAGGAUGAGUCUGCGACCUAUCAGGUAGUAGGUGGUGUAAUGGACCACCUAGCCUCAGACGGGUACGGGCCCUGGGAGGGGUAGCCCGGAGAUGGACUCUGAGACAUCAGUCCAGGCCCUACGGGGCGCAGCAGGCGCGAACACUGUGCAAUGCGCGAAAGCGCGACACGGGGAGCUUGAGUGUCUUGGCAUAGCCAAGACUUUUCUCAUUCCUAAAAAGCAUGAGGAAUAAGUGCUGGGUAAGACGGGUGCCAGCCGCCGCGGUAACACCCGCAGCACAAGUGGUGGUCACUUUUAUUGAGCCUAAAGCGUUCGUAGCCGGUUUUGUAAAUCUUUAGAUAAAGCCUGAAGCUUAACUCCAGAAAGUCUGAAGAGACUGCAAGACUUGAGAUCGGGUGAGGUUAAACGUACUUUCAGGGUAGGGGUAAAAUCCUGUAAUCCCGGAAGGACGACCAGUGGCGAAAGCGUUUAACUAGAACGAAUCUGACGGUAAGGAACGAAGGCUAGGGUAGCAAACCGGAUUAGAUACCCGGGUAGUCCUAGCUGUAAACACUGCCCAUUUGAUGUUGCUUUUCCGUUGAGGGAAGGCAGUGUCGGAGCGAAGGUGUUAAAUGGGCCGCUUGGGAAGUAUGGUCGCAAGACUGAAACUUAAAGGAAUUGGCGGGGGAGCACCGCAACGGGGGGAAUGUGCGGUUUAAUUGGAUUCACCGCCGGA
RNAcentral lists this ribosomal RNA (916 nucleotides) under uncultured archaeon. RNAcentral's name for it is "bacterial SSU rRNA". It matches the Rfam family "Archaeal small subunit ribosomal RNA", at positions 1 to 922 of the family's 1478-position model. The record is from RNAcentral.